AAACAACAUAGAAGAAAAAAAUAUCAAACCGUAGAUACAACCGAUCUGAUUCACAUUAUAAUAAACUCAGUUUUUCAUAAUUAUAAAUCCCACCCCAAGAUCUAUAUAUCAUCUGAGUUUCCUUUUUUUUUUUUUGUAUGAAAGUUGAAUACCAUGAAGAAAGAGGUCGAGAGGAAGAGAGAAAAACAACUCAGCACGAUCAAAUUAAGCACAUUACAAAUUACAUAUAUAUCGAAUAAACAUAGGAUGAUGAUGGAUGUUCAUGAUGAUGGCGAUGGAUUGGUUCAUACAGAGCUAGUUUCGGAGAGGCCAAACUCAAGUCCCCAAAGCUCAAAAGCACCCUUAAUAAAGUCAUAGUAGCCUCCCUUCAAAGCAAGUGUUCCCUUUACAAGUCCUUCCCUCACAAAUGGAUAUGUCAAUAAGUUUGCUAGUGAAACGUUCACUGCCUCCUGUAUAAAUUCAAACUUUAUAUUAAUAGAAUCUCAUUUUAAUAUAAGAUAUGCAUAUGUGGACAUCUAUCUAUACGUGUACCCUUUCACAUCGGCUGCAUUGGUCCUCAAAGGCUGAAUCUCCAACUUCUGAUUUGACCUUGGACUUGGCUGGUAAACAGAUUUUGACCCAGUCCUCUAUGAAAUCACUGUAAUUAACAUAGUUCAUUGAAAAAUCUCAUUUGAUAACAAAAAAACUGGUGUUAAAUAUAAAUAAAUUGAAUAUAUUAAAUAACUUAUAGGAAAAAAAACACACGAGAGCAGUUUCUCCCAGACGAGCUUUUCGAGAAAGGUCCCUGCAUUUACGAAGAGUCAACGUCUAACCUUUUAACCGUAUAUAUAUAUAUAUAUAUAUAAUAUUAUUUUAAAUUAUAUUUAUAAUAGUAUUAAUACCUAAAAUUAAAAAUAUAAAUCAUAUAUAUUUAGGUAUUUAUAGAUAAAAAUAGAUUUUUUGGAUAAAAACACUCAAAUAACAUUAUGUAUAUGGUUACUUUUAGACAAAAAAUAACAAAUUUAAACUAUAUAAAUUGAGUAUUUUUGGGAUUUUAAGUUAUUUUUGAUAAGUUCAGAUAAUUUGGAUAUAAAAUACCCGAAUCAAAUCGAGUAAUUUGGUUACUUCGGAUAAAAUCCGAACCCAUCCGGAUCCGGGAGGAUCCGACUCGAACCCGACCCGGUUUUUGUAAUACCCGAAUGAAACCAUCAAAAUCCAAAAAAAUCGAUACCCGAAUUGAUAGUAUCCAUAUCUGAAGGGGUAUCCGAACGCCCAUGCCUAAUCCAUACUCUUAGAAUCCUGAACUUGCAAACAAAUCAAGAGUUACAGAUAUGACAGGCUGUCCCCCUUUAUUAAAUACUAGUAUGGUUUAAUACUUCAACUGAUGGUGUUAAUUGUCUUGAUAUACUCCACUUCACAAACUUAAAUAAAAAGUUAAAGUUUCACUAACGUCGUUUUUCUAUAUCCUAAUAUGCAACUGCAUGUAUAUAUAAUCUAGUAGUGAAAAAACAAAAUAAAUAAAUAAAUUUAGUAGUGAAUAGUGAAUACACAAAAAAAAUAGUGUAAACAGAGAGAGGAGGGGGAGUAAACAUGCACUAGGAGGGAAAGACCAUGUAAUAGAUUUUAGUAUAUUGAUAGUAUUUAGAACUGGUUGGCAAUAAAAUUUGUCAGAAGUCUGUUUAACACGAGACGUUUUGAAGACGCCUUAUCUACGAUUCACUUCCUUCAGAUUUUUGUUUUAUUUUAUUUUAAAAUCUUGAAAAGAAAACAAAAAUUACUUAAUUGUAUAUUUUAGUUUUUAUUUUAUUUUUUCACCCUAAGGUUUCAAUUUUUUAUUUUACAUAAAAUGAAAAACCAGCUACAUGCAAUAUUCAUUUUUAAUUAUUAAAUAAAACGCGAAUGGUUAUUUCAUGAUGAGCGACAUGGAAACAACAAGAUGAUUGGUUGAAUGGGAUAAAGGCUUCAAAGAGUUCCUACAGCUUCCAAUGUAGUAUGGUAGCCACAUCUUUAACCUAUCAAACAACAUAGAAGAAAAAAAUAUCAAACCGUAGAUACAACCGAUCUGAUACACAUUAUAAUAAACUCAGUUUUUCAUAAUUAUAAAUCCCACCCCAAGAUCUAUAUAUCAUCUGAGUUUCCUUUUUUUUUUUUUGUAUGAAAGUUGAAUACCAUGAAGAAAGAGGUCGAGAGGAAGAGAGAAAAACAACUCAGCACGAUCAAAUUAAGCACAUUACAAAUUACAUAUAUAUCGAAUAAACAUAGGAUGAUGAUGGAUGUUCAUGAUGAUGGCGAUGGAUUGGUUCAUACAGAGCUAGUUUCGGAGAGGCCAAACUCAAGUCCCCAAAGCUCAAAAGCACCCUUAAUAAAGUC
Molecule: long non-coding RNA, 2349 nt
Filed under: Brassica napus (rape)
Lineage: Eukaryota; Viridiplantae; Streptophyta; Magnoliopsida; Brassicales; Brassicaceae
Description: long non-coding RNA (BNAP_LNC026187)
Source: RNAcentral